RNAcentral lists this ribosomal RNA (443 nucleotides) under Acallocrates denticollis. Its description in RNAcentral is "eukaryotic LSU rRNA". It matches the Rfam family "Eukaryotic large subunit ribosomal RNA", at positions 1349 to 1663 of the family's 3401-position model. Lineage: Eukaryota; Metazoa; Arthropoda; Insecta; Coleoptera; Curculionidae. The record is from RNAcentral.
CGACCGUCAGCGGCAAACGCGCUCGAACCUCGCGUUCGGGUGCAUCAAGCUCUGACGAGUAGGAGGGUCGCGGCGGUGAGCGCAGAAGGGCUGGCCGCGAGGCCGUCUGGAGCCGCCGUCGGUGCAGAUCUUGGUGGUAGUAGCAAAUACUCCAGCGAGGCCCUGGAGGACUGACGUGGAGAAGGGUUUCGUGUGAACAGCCGUUGCACACGAGUCAGUCGAUCCUAAGCCCUAGGCGAAAGCCGAUGUCGAUGCGGUGUACGUGUAAACGAUAAUAAUAAUAGUAGUAGCGGAGCGCGUAAGUGAUAUUAUUAGAUAAAAAUAACACGCUCGCGCCGUUACGAAAAAUAUAUUAACGAUAUAAAAACGAACACACUCGUCGGGCGAAAGGGAAUCCGGUUCCUAUUCCGGAACCUGGCAGCGGAACCGUUAAUAAGUCGGGC